UUCGUAGGGGGCAAGCGUUGUCCGGAAUCAUUGGGCGUAAAGCGCGUGUAGGCGGUUCGGUAAGUCGGCUGUGAAAGUCCAGGGCUCAACCCUGGGAUGCCGGUCGAUACUGCCGGACUAGAGUUCGGAAGAGGCGAGUGGAAUUCCCGGUGUAGCGGUGAAAUGCGCAGAUAUCGGGAGGAACACCUAUGGCGAAGGCAGCUCGCUGGGACGUUACUGACGCUGAGGCGCGAAAGCGUGGGGAGCGAACGGG
RNAcentral lists this ribosomal RNA (253 nucleotides) under uncultured bacterium. RNAcentral describes it as "partial 16S ribosomal RNA". It matches the Rfam family "Bacterial small subunit ribosomal RNA", at positions 524 to 776 of the family's 1533-position model. The record is from RNAcentral.